Molecule: ribosomal RNA, 253 nt
Filed under: uncultured bacterium
Lineage: Bacteria
Description: partial 16S ribosomal RNA
Rfam family: Bacterial small subunit ribosomal RNA
Source: RNAcentral
UACGUAGGGUGCAAGCGUUGUCCGGAAUUAUUGGGCGUAAAGAGCUCGUAGGCGGUUCGUCGCGUCGGCUGUGAAAUCCCGAGGCUCAACCUCGGGUCUGCAGUCGAUACGGGCGGACUGGAGUUCGGCAGGGGAGACUGGAAUUCCUGGUGUAGCGGUGAAAUGCGCAGAUAUCAGGAGGAACACCGGUGGCGAAGGCGGGUCUCUGGGCCGAUACUGACGCUGAGGAGCGAAAGCGUGGGGAGCGAGCAGG